CAUCAGGAAUUCCAUUCACCAAUCUGUUGACACUCUGACUUGUAGGAUGAACAUAUGCACAUGUUACAGAGAGGUCACCCGCUGGCAUGGGAAGGGACAGAGUCUCAGUCUCCAUGUUAAUCAGAACUAAAGAGAAAAUUGAGCUCAUCUAGCAUUCUUCGCAAUGUAUGUUUCUCCAAUACCUGCUGGUCUUCUGGAUUGGCUGGUGUUUCAUCUUGUUUUCUCCAAUGUGCUUUGAACAUGCAGAAGCAGAACUUUUAUUGAUCCUUACCCCACAACAUGUGAAACCCUCGCUCCUUCCUUGUCGCCGCCCCGCCCUGUCGACCUUGUUGUUGAGCUGGCCGAUGGCACCGACGGCCGACGCCAAAGAAGGACCGCACUCAUUAUGGCCGCCGCGGCGAACAUCGCGGGGAGCAUGUGCGUGGGUGACAUCACGGUGU
RNAcentral lists this long non-coding RNA (440 nucleotides) under Oryza brachyantha (malo sina). Its description in RNAcentral is "long non-coding RNA (OBRA_LNC003253)". The record is from RNAcentral. Lineage: Eukaryota; Viridiplantae; Streptophyta; Magnoliopsida; Poales; Poaceae.